AAAAAAAAAAAAAAGAUAAGCAGGCUAAGAAAUCCACUUUAAGUAUUAAAAAUGUAAACAGUCACUAGGCUGAGUGAGUGUGGAGCGCUGUCUGGAGGUGGAUGAAGACAGAUAAUUCAAGUAGGCACUGUGCUGGGUGUGGAGAAGCAGGGUGGACACUGUAACUCAUGCUGAGUAAGUUUCAAGACAAAAAUACCUCAAAUGAUAAAAAGGAACCCAUAGAAUGCCACAUAAAAUUCCUUUCAUGGGAAAUAAAACAUUUCUAUGCAUUUAUGCACAUAAUGAAAAUCAAAGAGCCUCAGUAGAAAAAAUUAGAGCCAUAGUCGUGGGACAGACAUUACAAUAUUUCCAGAAAAUGAUGAAGUGAGAGAAUCUCUACCACAAACUUCUAAACAGAUUGGGAAACAACACAACUGACCCACUGGCAUAUAUGAAAUAAUCUGACCAGUAAUGACAGGGUUCAAAACAUGGGAAACAGAUUAUCACUAAUACCUGACCACAUACUAACUCUAAAAAUUUUAAAAGAACUGAUAGGAGAGGGAGGAACUAAGUGCAGAAUGGGAGAGGAGGAGAGAGAGUUGGUGAUGUCUUGUGUCUUAUCGCUAUUGAUUUUCCCCUAUCUUGCUAAAAUAUAGAGAAAUAAAGAUAUAAGAACAAGAGAGACUGAGAAUUGGUCUAUGAUUAAUGGGGAAGAAAAAGCAUUCUUUGCUCUUUUAACUUAAAAGAACAACAACAACAACAUCAAAAACCUCAAGUGUGGGCAUAGUGGGCCUUUAAUCCCAGGACCCUGGAGAUUGGGGCAGGCAGAGCUAUACAGUGAGACUCUUUCUCAAAAACAACAAUAAUUGAAAUAAUUUUAUUUUAAAUCAUCUUUUAACACUGAGUAUGAUGUAUUUUGGUUCUAGGCCUUUCUUUAAAAUGUAAAGGAAACUCCUUUUUGUUUGUAGACCUUUCCCUCACCCAUAUUGUCAAACACGAUUUUUAGGUCCUGUUGAGGCCAGAGGUUGACAGUGACUGUGUUCCUUGAUCUGUUCUCUAUUUAUUGAGGUAGGAUCUCUCUCUGAACUUGAGUUUGCCAAUCUGACUAGCUGGCAAGCCUGCCUUUGGGGAACCCCUGUCACCACGUCCUGAGUAAGGGUUAUAUAGGGUGAAGCAGGCCCAUCCACUGGUACGCACACUUGUAUAGUAAGCACUUCAGCAUCCCGGCUUGAUACCUAGUUUUUAAAAAUGGACAAAUGAUACCACAGGCAAGAUGCCUCAGUAAAGAAGAUAAAUAGCUGAGCCUGCAUUUCUCCAGAUAGGUUCAUGACAAAUGAUCAGUAUCAUCUGCUAACAGGAAAAUGAAAAUUAUUGCCAUUAUCACUAUAAAGCCUAAGUUGGCCUCAAGCAGGCAGGAAUCCUCUUGUCCCCACCUCCCAAGUACACCAGAGUGUCACACAACGAGCCAGGAUCAUACCUGUCAUCUCUGCAAUGAGGAGGUUAGAGCAGAAAGACCACAGGGUGGAAGUCAGUCUAUGCUAUGGGCGGAGUUAAAUCACAACAGGAUGCUCUAAAUAUCCAGCAGACUGGAUAAAAUCAGAAAGACUGGGUAAAUAUAGAACGGCAUACAGGAUGCUCAAAGUCAACUGACCCUGAACUUCUCAAACCAAACAUGACCCACCCACUGCACACUCUGCUUCUAAAUGCACCACUGAACUGUGGGCCAAAACAACCCCUUCCAUGCAGUGCUUUUUGUCAGGUGUUUGUCUCCCUGACAUCUUAAACCAACACAGGUGUAGCAUGACAGGCAGUUUGUCAAGACACUGGGCCACAGGGCAGCUCAGCACUCCCAUACCCUUCACUGCCCAAAGCAUAAAGGUCAGAAUCAUGGGAGCUAAACAUCCAGACCAAAAAUAUACCUUCCCAUGAGCAGCCCAUGGAGACUGCCAGCAGCAGAUGGCCAUGGAACAAAGCCCUAUGACCAUCUGGUACGAAUCUACCCAAUUAACCAGCUGGGUACUAAAGGCUCUGUCUAGGUGCGUGCUGACAGUCUUGAGCACAGCAGACUCCCAAGCAUGCCUUCUGGACACUGGUACAUGUCACCACGGCACUGAACUAACAAAGCAUGGGCAUCCUUCUUUGCUUCAUUCACAGGGAUAAGAGUGGUUGGUUUGUGUUUUUUUGUUUUUUAAAUCUUGUUUCUCAUGGUUUAUUUAUUGAUGGCAUAUUGGUGGGGGGGGGGUGCAUUAAACAGAAAUGGGAGUUUAAGGAAGAGUAUAUGAUUCACAUCUUACUUUAUAACGUAAGCAGAAAGAGCCCUUCUGUCUCUGCAGAGACUCAAAGGAAGAGCCAGAGCCUGGUCUGUCACGGCAGCUGAACACAAAGACGACAACAGGAAGGACCUAGUCACACAGUCACAGGAGCAGCCCAGGCUGCUUUACCAUUCUCAGUCUCCUCCCCCAGCCUCAGUGCUGACAUUAGAGAUACAGAGCACCAACCCAGGAAUCUAGUAUUAAUGACGGUCAACAGCAUCUCAGGAUACACCACCCAACAGGACCAAGAUAUCCAAACUCAACAAAGUCUUUGUAUUUGCCAGCAAAGAGUUACCACUGCCCUGGCUAAGAGGAGGACAGAGCAGCAAAUACUGAGACAAGGCUGGCUUCUGGUAGUAGUAAUGAAUCCAAAGUUUGCAUAAGCAAGGGAAGGCUUAUCUCAGGUUGUACCCCUAAAUAACAAAUGGAAUGUGGAGCUGAAAUCUACACUUUUAUUCACUCAACUAUUCCAAGAUAAACAUCUUUAAAAAUUAAAACUUACAUGCAAUAAGCUUUACAUUAAAUGCUGAAAACAGUCUCUUGGCCCAGAAUCUAAAGAUCCUCCCUUUCUUCCUUACCUCGAAUUUCAAAGAAAAGAAAACUGAAAAACUGCCUCUGUGAACACGACACGGAUCUCUCCUGCAUCCUCCACGGACCAAGCACUGCCUUACGCCAGCCCUGUCCUUGAGAGAAACUCACCAAAGACCUUCUCAUGAGACUCCUGUGGCGUUCUUGCUGCUUCCCCAGACUCAGGCCUGCUGGUGAGUUUCAGUUUCUUCUGGAUUGAACUUCCCUUGCUGAUUUGCGUUUGGUGUUUGCUAGUGGACUGGACUAAGAACAACAAAGACUGGAAUUGCCCCAAAGAGCCCAAAGAACCAUUAUUAAACAGGUCUACUUCCCCCAUGUCCUAAAAACCUUUCCUUUCCAUUACCUAAAAAUAUAUGCCUACAAUGGUACGACUUUUUUUUUAAAUUAUUAAUGAGGAGGCUAGAGAAAUGACCCAGUGGUUAAGAGCAUUUGCUGUGGAAGUUCAUAACCACCUAUAAUUCUAGUUCCAGAGACUAUAGUGCCCUUAUUUGCCUCCAUGUCAGACACAGGCCUACAUGCAGGCAAAAUACCAUACACAUAAAAUUAAACUAAAAAGUGUAAUUGAAUCCUAGCACAUUAAAAGGCAGUAUCUUUUCCUAGGAAGUAAAUGCAAAGCCCCACGUAUAGGCAAAGUUCCUUGGUGACUUUAGGCUUCUUCAGGCCCAGGCAAGCACAGGACUAGGAGCUGAAAGAAGUAGGGUACACUAAGAAAAGUAUUUCUACCACACACUAUUAUUCAAAUACUUGUUCAAAAAGCAAGAGUGCUACCAUCUUAUACCACAACCCUUUCUAGUCCAAAGGACAGUGCAUAUAAUGAAAGCCUGUCUGUGGGGCAGCAGACUACAAGAGGGUAGGAGACUCAAGUCUGAGGCCAGUCAGGACCCAUGCUAACAAAGGUUAUGCUGAGAGAUUGGCGGGCUGGUUUGUCAGCAUUUACAGUUAGCUCAGCAUCCAGGCUUGAUGUCUUCUUUCCUUAGAACACACCACAAAACAACCAAAGAGCACGGGGGGCAGGGAGGGAGAGACAGAGACAGAGACAGAAAGCAAAAGCUGGGGACACUGCUGAGAAAGGAGCCCAGACCCAGGAGUAUACCUGCAGAAGUCAGGUGAUGGGCAUAAACAGACAUUCCUUAAUUGUUAAAUAUGCAUUGGUAUUUUGUCUGGUUGAAUGGCUGUGUGAGGGUGCCACAUCUUACAGGCAGUAAGUUACAGGCUGUUGUGAGCUGGUUACUGGAAUUGAACUCAGGACCUCUGGAAGAGCAGUCAUUGCUCUUAACCACUGAGCCAUCUCUCCAACCCCAGACAUUCUUUAAUAGAGAGCUAUUCACCUUUUAUCUGCCAUAUCUGCCAACAAAGAUCACAUUUACCAAAAAAACAAAAAAAACAAAAAAAAAAAAAACAAAAAAAACAGGUUAUAACUGUCUUGAGUGUAUCCUUACUGGCUCUGGGAUGUUUGCACUGAGAGAGCCCUUUUAAGUUGCUAGUAGAAAUAUAAACUGGUAUGGCUGGUGCAGAAAACAAUGCAGAGAGGCAGCAGUACUCUCCUUUAAUCCCAGAAGACAGAUCUCUGUUAAGUGCAACACACCAACCUGGUUUAUAGAUGUAUACAGUGGGAACCUCGCCUUAAAAAAAAAAAUGUAUUUUUUACAGCCCUAUAGUUUAGCAAUUCUACUUUGUAGCAUUAUGAUGGUUAAUCUUGACUGUCAAGCUAAGUGGAUUGAGAAACAUCUCCAAGGUUAAACCCCUGGAUGUCUGAGAGGGCAUUUCCAGGAAAAUGCCUAUGGGCAUCACCAUUCCUCAGGCUUGGAGUUUGGAUGAAAUGAGCCACGGGGGGACGGGGGGAGAUGACUGGAUAGGUGGCUUAGUGGUUAGAGCACUUGCUGCUCUUCCAGAGGACCUGAGUUCCUGCUCUGCACCCAGGCCAGGUGGCUCAUGGCAUCUGUGAAGCCUGGUCAGGAGCUCUUGCGCCCUCUUCCGGCCACCCUGGCCAGCUGUACAGGUGGCAUAUGCUCAACACAAACACGGACACAGAAGGAAACAUAAAAUCUAAAAUUGAAGAAAAGCAAGGAAAAGGUAGAGCCCUAAAGUACAGACACUCUCUGCUUCCUAUCUAUCAUGUCUUUCCUAACACGCAUUUAGGGGGUGGGGAGAGAUCCCUGUCUGAAACUAUAAGCCAAAAAUAAAUUUUCCCAGAAAUUUGUCAGAUGGUUGUCAUAGCAAUGAAAAGCUAACAGAGGUAUAUACUCAAAAGAACUGAAAGCAAGGUCUCAAAAAGAGAUAUUUAAAAUCUCACAUUUCCAGCUCACAUUAAAUAAUUUCCAACCUCACAGAUGAGCAAACUGUGUAUGAUGUGUCCAACAAAGGACUAGUGUUCAUCCCUAAAAAUGAAGGGAGUGCGGCACGGUGGCCUGUCUCUUUAAUAUGCAGCACUGUGUAUGUUAAUAGUAUGCAGAGGAGAUCAUCUGGGCACAGAAGGGAGCCCCGCUCUGUGGUGCACCUCAAACCCACCCUUGUCUGAAUAGCACCAUGACUGCUCCUUUAUGAAAGUAACUUCCCUUGUUUUUCUUUUCCUUCCUUCCUCCCUCCCUCCCUCCCUCCCUCCCUCCCUCAGUCAUUGUUUACACAGACAUGGUCUCAUUAUAUAACCCAGACUGGCCUGAAAUUCAUGAUCCUACCUUUUUAGCUUUAUAAAUGCUAGGAUUUCUAGUGUAUAGUACCAUAAAUACCUGAAUCUCCUUUUUAAAAAUGUUAUCUUUUAUUUUCCACUUACAUUUUAUCUACCUUUCUUUUUAAAAAGCUAAGAGAGGAGCCGGGUGUGGUGGCACACGCCUUUAAUCCCAGCACUCGGGAGGCAGAGGCAGGUGGAUCUCUGAGUUCGAGGCCAGCCUGGUCUACAGAGGGAGUUCCAGGACAGCCAGGGCUAUACAGAGAAACCCUGUCUAAAAAAAAAAAAAAAAAGCUAAGAGAGAGCUGGAGAGAUGGCUCAGUGGUUAAGAGCAUUGACUGUUCUUCCAGAGGUCCCGAGUUCAAUUCCCAGCAACCACAUGGUGGCUCACAACCAUCUGCAGUAGGAUCUGAUGCCCUCUUCUGGUGUGUCUGAAGACAGCUAUAUUGUACUCAUAUACUUAAAAUAAAUAAAUAUUUAAAACAAGACAAAACAAAAACCUUAAAAAAAAAAAAAAGCUAAGAGAACAACAAAAAAGAGAUUAGUGAAUACUUCUAGAUACAACCAAAUCCAAGUCUUAUUCUUGGUGCUUUAAAGUGGCCCUAGAGGUGACCUGUAUCGCACUUGAUCCCAGGAAGGAUUUGCUGCUUUCAACAACAGAGAAACUGACAAGCCAAAGAAACGAUGAACCCAGGGUUACAGUAAAACUACACUUGUGUUGGCAGGUGCAGAUGGCAGAGUCCCACGGGAAACUCAGCAUCAGUCAUUUCUCACCUCUUUCCAGCACACAGUGGACAAGUCUCCCGCAGCACUCACAGAGUAUCCACAACUGUGGGCAUGUAUGUAUGACGAAAAAGCCAGAGGAAAGUAAGGUCCCCACAUCACCCUGCUGCUGGUCAUGCUUUGCUCAACUAGCACCAUCUAUCUAGACAUCCAAGCCAGUGGUCCAGUGUGCCUAACUUAAAACAGGUAUUCAGAAAGGGGAAACAAUACAAAAUCAAGCCUAACUUAUUUCUUUCUAUUUUCCACUAGGACAUGUACACGGGCAUUCCCUAAACUUCAUUCUCCUUAAGAGUGAGCAGCCUGCUCCAGGCUUCUCUGGUGGAAGGCCCACAGCAGAAAGUCAGCACUGUGAAGACAAAGCUGUACAAAGAAGGCUUCAGACACAAAAUGCUUUCUUUUCAUAAUCACUGAGAUUUCAACUGUGGUGAUCCAGGUAGUACUGCGUGUGCGCAGCAAACUGUAACAAGAAAUUGAAAGGUGCCGGCCAUGGCCCCGAGCAUAUGAAGACAGGGUGCUGUACUCCGGAUUAGACAACAUUAAACACUGCCUUCAUGUUUUUUGAAACCUAAGAUCCUGAAACAUAGUGUUUUUUAACUUAGUAAAGGUGAGACAACCUACUCCAAUGUAAAUACACGGACAUUAAGCCAAGUAUAAUGGAACAUGCUGUAGUUCUAGCUACUCGGAAGGCUGAGGCAGGAGAUCACUGGUAACCAGGGGAUAGGGGAUAGCUUAGGGAACCUAGUAAGACCCUGACUCAUAAAAGAAAAAUAAACAGAUAUUAUUAUGCAUGUUUUGAUGUUUUUCACAAACUGCUUUUCUGAAAUACUACAGAGAAUCAAACACAACACUCCAAAAACCAAUGUGUACAUAAGCAAAGGAGACACCUUUCUAGUACUGAAGAAUUCCCAUUUGAGUGGGCCACAGGCAGGUUUUAGAGGCAGCAUCCACCAAUCAUCAUGCCUCGCUUAUUUGGUAAGCAGUAUAUCACUGAUUAGCAAAUAAAGAACUGGUCACCAAUAGUCCAAAUCCUUUACUCACUAUAACAAUAGUGUAUUGCUGUGUGUGUAAGCAACUUUGCUCUGAUGUUUACACACCCAGUGUCUGCAUGCUGGUUGCGCACUACUUGUAGGACAGUCUUUAAGUCAGGACCAGAGCAUGCCAUCUGCAUGCCACACCCUGUCUUUAUUAUGAGAAUACACAUGCUGGAUGCAGACUGCUUAAGUAUCCUUUCUCAGCUGCAGUGAAGAACAGAUAAAUUUCCUAUAAUCACCAUUUUCCAUAUAACCAAUCACAGACACAAAGGGUAGAGAUUCCCAAUGACAUGGGAGUCUGCUUCCAGGGACCCAGAUGUAUAAUUCUUAGGCCGCAGAAUGAUGGUGGCCAUGUUGUGACCUCCAUACUCAUUCUGUCUGCUGCCUCAGUGUUGAUUGGUCAGGCAGGACUGGGGGACCUUUGACCUUAUUAGCCUUAAUACGUAGACUCCAGUUGCCCUUCUGAGAGUCAGCAGUACUACAAAACUAGGAAGUUGUUAUCUGGGUCAAUGACCAUUUCAUCAUUACAACUUUGUAACUAAGGGCUUGUGAUAAUACAUAUUACAUUGUUUUGAGUUCCACAGUUACAUCUUACAAAAAGAAACAAGUUGUAUUUUCUUUCAUUAUUUAAAAAAAAAAAGCAAUCUGGCACAGUUCACACAUCACUUGUACCUUCUUCCUUGUCGACUAAAAAGCAUACUCCAGGGAAGACAAACACUGGUACACCGAUUACCCAGACAUCACCACUCAAAAACACUGCUUCUAAAUUCAGGAUCAAAGGCUAUCAAGCCAGGUAAGUAAGGAUGACAGAGAAAAAGAUAAACACAUAACUAGGGGGUGGCCAUAUUAAAUCAAGAAGAGUUUAGUUUUGCAAAAACACCUUCAAAAUUGCCAUGGCUCUUCAAAUGGACAAAGAGUUUAUAUUUCGCAGGGAAAAGAUGGGCAUUCAGAGAGAAACAGCAAGACCUUCAGCCUGAGUCGUAUGAGAGCCAGCAGAAAGGAUGAGUCAAAAAAAAAAAAAAAAAAAAAAUCACAAUGAAGUGCACCAAAAGUUUUGUUAAACAAGAUCUAAUUCUUUACCCAAAUUAAGAGGUAAAUUAACAAAUGAGAGCUGAGGAAUUUCUGUUGUAGCAUUCUGAAAUGCCCAAUCCCUUGGUUCCCUACUAUAAUAACCACAAAGAAGACAAAUGCACAGCACACCUGUUUUUUCACACCAGAGUCACUCUGCUUGUCCCUGUGAACCUGCAUGUGCUACAGAGCCAGCUUAGCCUGGCUGUCUAAAAACAAACCAAAAAGCCGAGCCAGGUAAAAUACAGGAGGUACCAUUUGUGUUGGAGCCUAAAAUAUACUGUGACACAAUGAAUUGAACAAGUCGAAGCAUGAACGAAUCAGAAUCAAUACUUGAUAAACGCAGCCCAAAUCCAGUAAGAAAAUAUGACCACUAGGUUUUUUGUUUUUGUUUUUUAAAUUAUACAAGAACUUAAGGCAUGGCUCAGUGGUAGAGUCGUUGCCUAGUGUGGUGGUGAGCUCAGUGGUCCAGAGUUGUAAAUGAGUAGUGGGAGGGUGGUGAAAGGCUGGUGUUCCAGAGCACCUACUUCUUUCUCUUCCAGAGACCUAGACUCACUUCCUGCACCCACCUAGUACUUCAUUAGCUCUGCAGGGGGUAUGAUGUCCUCUCCUAACUUCCACUGGCUCCUGCACAUGCAUAUACUUGGGUGCACACAUAUACACAUAAAAUAGUUUUAAAAUAAUUUAUGAAUUCACCCUGAACCUUACUAUUAUACAUAAAUUUACUACUUGUGCUUAAAUGUCAGGAAACAGAUUUUGAGAUUUAUUGCUGCAAAGUUGUGGACAACUAAUAGUAAAUGGCGCAUUAGCUGACUAAUGUGUGUCUAGAACUCAGAGAAAGCAGCCCACAUUUUAUUAGCAGUCUAAAUGCAAGUGAACUCUCUAUGCAAAAUCUAAGUCUAAGUCACUAUUAUGUGCACCAAGCAUACUUACACAUAUUGCUCCUGUUAUUAUGUGUUGCCCCAAUCCAACCUUUAAAACCCCCCACACUCCCUUCACACAGGCAACCUUGGCAACCGGAUGGAGAUGGCUCUUUUACUAGCCCUCCAGCCUUUAUGGGCCACCAUUACAGGACCUGCCCUUCACCUGUCCCCUAUAACAGUGUCCAAUUGGCAGUUGAUUAUGGUCUGUUGGGUGACACGGGUAAAUCAGUAGAAACACCUCCCAGAGAAAGUAAGCUUAUGAGAAACAUCACUGUAAUCUUGGAAGAUUAUGCUCCAGUGUGGUUUAGGAACUCCCAUGGGCUAGAGAGAUGAUUUAGUCUAUAAAAUACCUACCAUGAUCCUCUGCUCAGAUCCCUAGCACCCAUACAAGAGCUGUGCCACUAGGCACAGUGGCAAGUUCCAGCAAUCCCAGCAUGGGGGAGACAGUACAGAGGGCUGGAAUGAUAUCUCAGUGGCUAAGAAUUGCUCUUUAAGAAUGAGGACCAGUAUUCAGAGAUCUCAUUUUUGAGGGGAGGGGAGGGGAGACAUGGCUCAGUGGUUAAGAGUGCACAGCACUCAUACGUAGGCUUCCCAUCCAGCAGCUCACAGCUAACCUGAACCCCAGCUCCAAGAGACUCAAAAACCUCUUCUAUCCUCCAUAGGCAACUAAGUUCACACAUAAACACAAGCAGGUAGCCACAAGGGUACAUGCAUAUAAUUUGAAAAAGAACUUUCUGAAACACAGAAUAUAUUUAAGAUGCUACUUAAACACUUAAUUACCAUGGAUCAUCAACACAGAGAAGGCAAGGAGUUAUUGUUUUAAAGUACUGUGCGCUCCCAAUGAGAUAUCAACUAAGAGGGUGGUGGUGACACACGGCUGUAAUCCCAGCACUAAGGAGGCAGAGGCAGGUGGAUCUCAGAGUUCCAGGACAGCCAGAACUACACAGAGAAACCUUGUUUAGGGUGGGAGUGCAGACAGGAACAGACACAAGACACACACAAAAGUCAACUUCUUGAAGAGUCACAGGGCCCUUUUGAGCUCCAUCCAGGAAGUCAGGUACUAGUUUGCCAACAAUUGCCUAUCUAUUCAGACUGACAGGUGGACACCCAGGACAAGAGAAGCACACUUUGGUCAUGGGUAGCAAAGUCAACAACACUAUGUUAGGCUUCAAACUUUAGCAUGAAAAUCGUAUUCCAAGAUAUUUUUCCCACUUAUUUGAAGAUACUAAGGGGGGGGGGAGGGGCGCGGACACACAGAGUCUGGAAGUGCAAACGUCUGUAAACGGAAAUUUAGUAUCAAAUGGUUUCAGAUGCUGCUGACAGGCCUUCUUCCUCAUGGAGUUAACAUGACCGUAAUCUGGCUAGUUGUAGAGGUAAAUUCUCUAAGUGGCUGAAAGAAGGGAAGUUACCAGAGAAGAAAAUAAUUUCUGGAGAAAAACAAAACAAUAUGUAAAUGAAUUUUGAAAUCCUAGGAUCCACUCACUUCCUUUUUACUUGAACAUGAAUAUCCUAACUGGACUUGAACUCAACUCAGAAUUCUCUUUUCAUUCUCCUAAGCAGCCAGCAUUAUAAGGCGGUAAGUACCACCACGUAUGACUUUCAGACUCCAUUCCACAGAACACACACUUAUGAUACCUGAGACACUUAACAUCAUGCACACAAAUGUAACUUGUACUACCUGCUUGAUACUUUCAUCCUAACUCAGACAAUUCAUGGAGGACCGAUGGCAGGGUUCCAACGUUACCAUAACCUUGAAUUAUUUACUGGGAUGGAAGUGAGGGGGAGAGAGCAGCUCUCAGAGCAGAAGCCUUUAGGAGCUCCCCAGGGAGCUGCCAAGCGGGAAGCAAGAGCUGCAUCGCUGCGCUCCUUAGAGAGGCCCUCGUCAGAAGUGCUUCCGGGACUAUCUCCACCUGCUUGCAUUUCUAUUUUGUUUGCCUUUACAACAAUGUCGUAGAUGUACUCCUAGACACCAGAGGCUCACAGGCACUGCUGGUGGUGCCCAUGCUAACAGGACAUGGAGAAAGGAUGAGAACGGGAACAGGCAGCAAUCAGAAGCACAGACUGAAACCAGCAGGUACCUUUUAGAACUACAGAAGUUCUCUCCUCCCUAAUCCAAGAACUUACUCCUGGUGCUAAAUUUGUGCUGAAAUCCGCUCCCACUGGGGUAUAGCUAUCCACAAAAUGCAAUCAAUGAGCUUUAACAGAGCGGCUCUGCAAGGUUAGCUUCCAGGGUGCCUAAGGCAGGGGUGUCAGACAACAAUUUCUGGAGAGCUCUCAGCCCAUGGAUGGAUCAUCUUCACUGCUACUAUGAACAGCCCCUUAAUCAACGGGGAAACUAUCCCCAGCACCUUCUUGUGCCAACGGAGACUGCGGGCUGAUUAACUGCUGGCUUCAGUCCUCCACUCUGACAAGCCAAGGUACCCCUGAAGGACUUCUUCCCUGCUGCCCUUGGGUAAGGUGGUACAGAACAAGGACAGUCAGAGAAGCCCUGUUUUCAUCUAGCAAAGAUAUCUCACCCACACGGAAACCAAAUACAGUGUAAACUAUGUGUUUUUGAAGGGACAGAGAAUCUAGCACCAAAAAUAACUGUUUCAGGGUCCUGCUGACAUUUAGAUCAGUGCAGCCAGUGCCACAACUUUCUCUGUGAAGUAAGGUAACCAUGCCUGAGCCCAGCAAUCUCAGUGACACUGUCCUGAGAAAGCGGGUGCAGCCUAGAAUUUCCAGGUGACCCUUGUAAACAAGCUGCCAAGAUCUGACUCCAUCUCAGUCUUAAUUCCAGUCUCUUCAAUCCCUGACUCAGCCCUUCUUCUGUUUGGAGGCCUUCAGACAUCUUAAAAUUCUCCACAGCAUAAAAUCUUUCUUCAGCAAAGUUCUCAAAGGUGAUUUCAUCUAACAAUAGCUAUGGAUUCCUUACACACUGGUAUGUCAAGCCCCAAACAUCUCAUUAUGUCAACAUAUGCAGGAUACUGCUACCCUGAACUAUAAAACUCUAAAUCCAGAUGGAAGGUCACUGCCAUGCACAAGUGCCAUGCACUGUGCACAGCCUACAUCACUGGACAAAACAAAUACCCAGGGAUGAGUCAGUGUAAAGUGCAUUCAAGGCACGCAUGCACACUCACGCACAAGGUUUAUACUUCCUUUUUUUAUUUCUAAAUUGAAAAGAAAAUAAAUUUACCA
Mus musculus (house mouse) is the source of this 12526-nucleotide long non-coding RNA. RefSeq annotates it as predicted gene, 39272. The record is from RefSeq and is a predicted model, not a curated record. Lineage: Eukaryota; Metazoa; Chordata; Mammalia; Rodentia; Muridae. The transcript is spliced from 3 exons.